GAUGAACGCUAGCGAUAGGCUUAACACAUGCAAGUCGAGGGGCAGCAUGGUCUUAGCUUGCUAAGACUGAUGGCGACCGGCGCACGGGUGCGUAACGCGUAUGCAACUUGCCUCACAGAGGGGGAUAACCCGUCGAAAGACGGACUAAUACCGCGUACACUUGGGAUAGGGCAUCCUGACCCAAGGAAAUGAAAUUCGCUGUGAGAUAGGCAUGCGUCCCAUUAGCUAGUUGGUGAGGUAACGGCUCACCAAGGCGACGAUGGGUAGGGGAACUGAGAGGUUGAGCCCCCACACUGGUACUGAGACACGGACCAGACUCCUACGGGAGGCAGCAGUGAGGAAGAUUGGUCAAGGGGCGAGAGCCUGAACCAGCCAAGUCGCGUGAAGGAUGACUGUCUUAUGGAUGGUAAACUUCUUUUAGACGGGAAUAACAAGAGCCACGUGUGGCUCCCUGCAUGUACCGUAUGAAUAAGCAUCGGCUAACUCCGUG
RNAcentral lists this ribosomal RNA (490 nucleotides) under uncultured bacterium. Its description in RNAcentral is "partial 16S ribosomal RNA". It matches the Rfam family "Bacterial small subunit ribosomal RNA", at positions 28 to 507 of the family's 1533-position model. The record is from RNAcentral.